GAUGAACGCUGACAGAAUGCUUAACACAUGCAAGUCUUUGGCGAAGCUGUGCUUGCACCGCCUAGCCAAGGCGGACGGGCGAGUAACGCGUAAGGAACUUGCCCUGCAGUCAGGGAUAACAGACGGAAACGACUGAUAAGACCUGGUAAAGUCAGGCGGACUCAUGUCCAGCCUGAUGAAAAGAGAUGCUGCAGGAGAGCCUUGCGUCCUAUUAGCUUGUUGGUGGGGUAACGGCCCACCAAGGCGAUGAUAGGUAGCCGGCCUGAGAGGGUGGACGGCCACAAGGGGACUGAGAUACGGCCCUUACUCCUACGGGAGGCAGCAGUGGGGAAUAUUGGACAAUGGGGGCAACCCUGAUCCAGCAAUUCUGUGUGCACGAUGAAGGUUUUCGGAUUGUAAAGUGCUUUCAGCAGGGAAGAAAAAAAUGACGGUACCUGCAGAAGAAGCGACGGCUAAAUACGUG
RNAcentral lists this ribosomal RNA (463 nucleotides) under uncultured bacterium. RNAcentral describes it as "partial 16S ribosomal RNA". It matches the Rfam family "Bacterial small subunit ribosomal RNA", at positions 28 to 507 of the family's 1533-position model. The record is from RNAcentral.